Molecule: non-coding RNA, 285 nt
Organism: Chiloscyllium plagiosum (whitespotted bambooshark)
Lineage: Eukaryota; Metazoa; Chordata; Chondrichthyes; Orectolobiformes; Hemiscylliidae
Source: RefSeq, a predicted model, not a curated record
UGUUUGAAUCUUCCUAUCCAAUGAAGUCAGGAGAGGUAUCCAAAUGACAGAACAGCCUCCUCCCUCUUUGUCCACCACCCGACUUGAGACAAGGAUUCCAAAUACUCAGACUGCCGUGAAGGGCAAUAUAAUGGAAGUCUUCAUUUCUCAAUGCCACUCUCAACUCCAAGUCAUCCUACCUUUGAUGAUCCAUUUUCCAUAAUUCCUUACUCAGAGACUCCCAGUCCUCUCCAAACUGAUUUGUGCUAUGCAACUCAUUUCCACCUUUCAUAGUUUCCUUUCCAU